Molecule: ribosomal RNA, 460 nt
Filed under: uncultured bacterium
Lineage: Bacteria
Description: partial 16S ribosomal RNA
Rfam family: Bacterial small subunit ribosomal RNA
Source: RNAcentral
CCUACGGGAGGCAGCAGUGAGGAAUAUUGGUCAAUGGACGAGAGUCUGAACCAGCCAAGUAGCGUGAAGGAUGACUGCCCUAUGGGUUGUAAACUUCUUUUAUAAAGGAAUAAAACGAGGCACGUGUGCCUUUUUGCAUGUACUUUAUGAAUAAGGAUCGGCUAACUCCGUGCCAGCAGCCGCGGUAAUACGGAGGAUCCGAGCGUUAUCCGGAUUUAUUGGGUUUAAAGGGAGCGUAGAUGGGUUGUUAAGUCAGUUGUGAAAGGUUGCGGCUCAACCGUAAAAUUGCAAUUGAUACUGGCAGUCUUGAGUACAGGUGAGGUAGGCGGAAUGCGUGGUGUAGCGGUGAAAUGCUUAGAUAUCACGAAGAACCCCGAUUGCGAAGGCAGCUUACUAAACUGUGACUGACAUUGAUGCUCGAAAGUGUGGGUAUCAAACAGGAUUAGAUACCCCAGUAGUC